CCUACGGGAGGCAGCAGUGAGGAAUAUUGGUCAAUGGCCGCAGGGCUGAACCAGCCAAGUCGCGUGAGGGAUGACGGUCCUAUGGAUUGUAAACCUCUUUUGUCAGGGAGCAAAGGGCGCCACGUGUGGCGCUUUGCGAGUACCUGACGAAAAAGCAUCGGCUAACUCCGUGCCAGCAGCCGCGGUAAUACGGAGGAUGCGAGCGUUAUCCGGAUUUAUUGGGGUUAAAGGGUGCGCAGGCGGAAUGUCAAGUCAGCGGUAAAAUUUCGGGGCUAAACCCCGUCGUGCCGUUGAAACUGGCGUUCUUGAGUGAGCGAGAAGUAUGCGGAAUGCGUGGUGUAGCGGUGAAAUGCAUAGAUAUCACGCAGAACUACGAUUGCGAAGGCAGCAUACCGGCGCUCAACUGACGCUCAUGCACGAAAGCGUGGGUAUCGAACAGGAUUAGAUACCCCUGUAGUC
RNAcentral lists this ribosomal RNA (459 nucleotides) under uncultured bacterium. RNAcentral's name for it is "partial 16S ribosomal RNA". It matches the Rfam family "Bacterial small subunit ribosomal RNA", at positions 338 to 795 of the family's 1533-position model. The record is from RNAcentral.